This 406-nucleotide ribosomal RNA is filed under the name uncultured bacterium. RNAcentral's name for it is "partial 16S ribosomal RNA". It matches the Rfam family "Bacterial small subunit ribosomal RNA", at positions 30 to 526 of the family's 1533-position model. The record is from RNAcentral.
AUUGAACGCUGGCGGCAGGCCUAACACAUGCAAGUCGGACGAGCGGCGGACGGGUGAGUAAUGUAUGGGAAUCUGCCUGAUGGAGGGGGAUAACUACUGGAAACGGUAGCUAAUACCGCAUACCAUCAGAUGAACCCAUAUGGGAUUAGCUUGUUGGUAGGGUAACGGCUUACCUAGGCGACGAUCCCUAGCUGGUCUGAGAGGAUGACCAGCCACACUGGGACUGAGACACGGCCCAGACUCCUACGGGAGGCAGCAGUGGGGAAUAUUGCACAAUGGGCGCAAGCCUGAUGCAGCCAUGCCGCGUGUAUGAAGAAGGCCUUCGGGUUGUAAAGUACUUUCAGUCGGGAGGCGUUACCCGCAGAAGAAGCACCGGCUAACUCCGUGCCAGCCGCCGCGGUAAUAC